CUGCGAAUGGCUCAUUAUAUAAGUUAUCGUUUAUUUGAUAGUACCUUACUACUUGGAUAACCGUGGUAAUUCUAGAGCUAAUACAUGCUGAAAAUCCCGACUUCGGAAGGGAUGUAUUUAUUAGAUUAAAAACCAAUGCCCUCUGGGCUCUCUGGUGAUUCAUAAUAACUUCUCGAAUCGCAUGGCCUUGCGCCGGCGAUGGUUCAUUCAAAUUUCUUCCCUAUCAACUUUCGAUGUUUGGGUAGUGGCCAAACAUGGUUGCAACGGGUAACGGAGGGUUAGGGCUCGACCCCGGAGAAGGAGCCUGAGAAACGGCUACUACAUCCAAGGAAGGCAGCAGGCGCGCAAAUUACCCAAUCCCGAUUCGGGGAGGUAGUGACAAUAAAUACUGAUACAGGGCUCUUUUGGGUCUUGUAAUUGGAAUGAGUACAAUUUAAAUCCCUUAACGAGGAACAAUUGGAGGGCAAGUCUGGUGCCAGCAGCCGCGGUAAUUCCAGCUCCAAUAGCGUAUAUUAAAGUUGUUGUGGUUAAAAAGCUCGUAGUUGAACCUUGGGCCUGGCUGGCCGGUCCGCCUCACCGCGUGUACUGGUCCGGCCGGGUCUUUCCCUCUGUGGAACCCCAUGCCCUUCACUGGGUGUGGCGGGGAAACAGGACUUUUACUUUGAAAAAAUUAGAGUGCUCCAGGCAGGCCUAUGCUCGAAUACAUUAGCAUGGAAUAAUGAAAUAGGACGUGCGGUUCUAUUUUGUUGGUUUCUAGGACCGCCGUAAUGAUUAAUAGGGACAGUCGGGGGCAUCAGUAUUCAAUUGUCAGAGGUGAAAUUCUUGGAUUUAUUGAAGACUAACUACUGCGAAAGCAUUUGCCAAGGAUGUUUUCAUUAAUCAGGAACGAAAGUUAGGGGAUCGAAGACGAUCAGAUACCGUCGUAGUCUUAACCAUAAACUAUGCCGACUAGGGAUCGGACGAUGUUAUUUUUUGACUCGUUCGGCACCUUACGAGAAAUCAAAGUGC
This 1008-nucleotide ribosomal RNA is filed under the name Metarhizium viridulum. RNAcentral's name for it is "SSU rRNA". It matches the Rfam family "Eukaryotic small subunit ribosomal RNA", at positions 87 to 1106 of the family's 1831-position model. The record is from RNAcentral. RNAcentral also lists the same sequence under 2 other names. Lineage: Eukaryota; Fungi; Ascomycota; Sordariomycetes; Hypocreales; Clavicipitaceae.